CAGACUUGUAUAUAAAAUCAUAACAUUCUGUUCGUAGCGUCUAUGAAAUGGCUAACGGACGGCAGAUCUUUUGGCCGGCUGUGAAACUGUUUGGUUUGCCGCCGGUGAGAUUAGUAACUACUUCUCACAGCUUUCUCCAACAUCGAUCCCCAUUACAUUUACAACCAGCUAGCUUUCCUUUCACAAGCAACUCUAUCUAGCUAUGCACCCUUCACUUAUAUCCUUACAAACAAAUUCAUAUCAAUCCAGCCUACAUUCUCCACAACUGAACUAGCUACCAGCUUACCACAAACAGGAAACAAAUAUUUUAUUGUUUCGGUUAACCAAAGAAUCGGGUCAUCAUUUGAUAACCAACGUAAAAUUAGCCAUCUUUCAGAUUGAGACACUGUUCGGAAUUCCCUUCCCAGUGAGCCCUCCUUCUCUGGAGUAAUCCGAUGUACUCGGAAACAGCAACGUGUAAGGUACCUUAACCGGCCCAACUCUGUUCUUCAAUCUAGGGUUAUUGUUCAUUUCCAUGAUUCUCCCCUCAAUUUUGACUAGCUUAUCCCCAAAUCGUUUGAACGCCGCUAGCGGUUCAUCGUCUGUAGUCCACUCCACUGUUUCUCGCUGGCCAAGGUAAACCUCGUCUGUGGAAUGCCUUGAUAGCGAUUCAAUGAGUGAUAUCCCUAGCAGAGUUUGUAGCUGCGCUGUGAUUGUUUUCAGGUAGGCCAAGUCCGGAUCUUUCUCUAAUUCCACAUAUUCAGGAGUACCUAGCUCCGGCAUGAAACGCCGGCUGAUGGUGGGACGGUUUGGGAGGUAUCCAGCGUAAGGGUAUUGCCCGAAAUUCACUGCUGCGUGGAGCGCUGAAGCUACCCAUAUGAUGAUGGUGCAUGAUUGUGUGAGGUCUUGGAAAUUUUGCAUCUCUGGCCACCAUGGUUCGUCUUUCUUAUCUCCAUGGCCUUCGUUUCUCAAUUCUGACCACCAGGAUUGGAGUUCCUCGUCGUUCUGGAUCAACUCAUCUGUAGGGUAGUAGAAACUGCAGUACUCCUGCACCCAUGUUUCGAUUGCUGACCAAAUUUCUAGUCCAUCGUUGGCGUAAGGGUAGUCCUCUAUCAGAAGUUUGAGCCCAUGUGGCUUGGUUUGAUCUGGUACUGCUACUCCUCUGAAAGUUUGAUACAGUCUUCUAAAUCAGAAAUCUGGAUACAAGACCUUGAUAAUAAUACCAGUUGAAGAUUUUUCAUGGUUUUUCUUACCUCUUUAUCAGGUCGGCAGGGAGUCCUUGUUCAGUGAAUAUCCAGUUUUUGUACACAACAGCUGACAUUUCCAUGGCGUAUCUUGCUGGGAAGACUGUCAUCUCUAGUAUACCACCAGCAUUGAUAAGGAUCUGUCUGGCAAAUGCAUUUAUAUUCAUUGUGUCGCG
This 1399-nucleotide long non-coding RNA is filed under the name Linum usitatissimum (flax). Its description in RNAcentral is "long non-coding RNA (LUSI_LNC007936)". Lineage: Eukaryota; Viridiplantae; Streptophyta; Magnoliopsida; Malpighiales; Linaceae. The record is from RNAcentral.